RNAcentral lists this long non-coding RNA (665 nucleotides) under Coturnix japonica (Japanese quail). RNAcentral's name for it is "lncRNA (ENSCJPG00005004607.1)". Lineage: Eukaryota; Metazoa; Chordata; Aves; Galliformes; Phasianidae. The record is from RNAcentral.
GCAGCUCUGAAAGCGUGAAUCUGGCUCUGCUGAGUGGUAGUGAGGGCAAUCUUUCUCCUUGUACUCAGUAAUUGCCAUGAGAUUUCAGCAGCUUAGGGAAAGAUCCUCAGCUAUAUUUGUGAAGCAUUCAGACAAUCUCUGGAGGGAAUCAUCCCACUUCCUUAUUCCGUGGUUAAAGAAUUUUUAUGAAGGCCUUUGAAGCUGAAAAUGGAAUCAAGGUCUCCCUUCUAAGUGAUUGGAAUUUAAUACACAUAAGAUGUCCUACGUGUGGCUCGGUGCUCAUCUGGGGCUGUGGAUCACGACAGAUAUCAGACUUAUGGUAUUUCUUAUGUAAGAAAUGCAAUUCCAUCUGCUGAAAUUCAAAGCCAGUGCUCAGCCUCCUUCAUUCUCCAUAACCUCUGAACAACUUAUGCAUUUUAGAUAUGCUCAGAGCUAUUGUCAUCUGAACAAGAGAAUAGACAACUAAAAGUAAUAAUUGCAUCAUUGUUUUUGAACAAUAACUUCUGAUUUAUAGCUCUGGGAAACAUCAGUUUUAGAUCUACCUAAGCCUGGAAGAAGAGGAAUCAGGGAUGAAGGAGUGAGACUGAACACGGAAAGAAGAGAAGUGGAUGAGAAUGUGUUUUAGUUUUAGUCUCUUUCUCUUCACUCUGCUGUAUGUUUUAAUG